AUUGAACGCUGGCGGCAGGCCUAACACAUGCAAGUCGAGCGGAUGAAGGGAGCUUGCUCCUGGAUUCAGCGGCGGACGGGCGAGUAAUGCCUAGGAAUCUGCCUGUUAGUGGGGGAUAACGCCCGGAAACGGGCGCUAAUACCGCAUACGUCCUGAGGGAGAAAGUGGGGGAUCUUCGGACCUCACGCUAUCAGAUGAGCCUAGGUCGGAUUAGCUAGUUGGUGGGGUAAAGGCCUACCAAGGCGACGAUCCGUAACUGGUCUGAGAGGAUGAUCAGUCACACUGGAACUGAGACACGGUCCAGACUCCUACGGGAGGCAGCAGUGGGGAAUAUCGGACAAUGGGCGAAAGCCUGAUCCAGCCAUGCCGCGUGUGUGAAGAAGGUCUUCGGAUUGUAAAGCACUUUAAGUUGGGAGGAAGGGCAGUAAGUUAAUACCUUGCUGUUUUGACGUUACCAACAGAAUAAGCACCGGCUAACUUCGUG
RNAcentral lists this ribosomal RNA (484 nucleotides) under uncultured bacterium. Its description in RNAcentral is "partial 16S ribosomal RNA". It matches the Rfam family "Bacterial small subunit ribosomal RNA", at positions 30 to 507 of the family's 1533-position model. The record is from RNAcentral.